This 497-nucleotide ribosomal RNA is filed under the name uncultured bacterium. RNAcentral's name for it is "partial 16S ribosomal RNA". It matches the Rfam family "Bacterial small subunit ribosomal RNA", at positions 28 to 507 of the family's 1533-position model. The record is from RNAcentral.
GAUGAACGCUGGCGGCGUGCCUAAUACAUGCAAGUCGAGCGAACGGACGAGAAGCUUGCUUCUCUGAUGUUAGCGGCGGACGGGUGAGUAACGCGUGGAUAACCUACCUAUAAGACUGGGAUAACUUCGAGAAACCGGAGCUAAUACCGGAUAAUAUUUUGAACCGCAUGGUUCAAAAGUGAAAGACGGUCUUGCUGUCACUUAUAGAUGGAUCCGCGCUGCAUUAGCUAGUUGGUAAGGUAACGGCUUACCAAGGCAACGAUGCAUAGCCGACCUGAGAGGGUGAUCGGCCACACUGGAACUGAGACACGGUCCAGACUCCUACGGGAGGCAGCAGUAGGGAAUCUUCCGCAAUGGGCGAAAGCCUGACGGAGCAACGCCGCGUGAGUGAUGAAGGUCUUCGGAUCGUAAAACUCUGUUAUUAGGGAAGAACAUAUGUGUAAGUAACUGUGCACAUCUUGACGGUACCUAAUCAGAAAGCCACGGCUAACUACGUG